AUACGGAGGAUGCGAGCGUUAUCCGGAUUUAUUGGGUUUAAAGGGUGCGUAGGCUGUGCGUUAAGUCAGGGGUGAAAUGCCGUCGCUCAACGACGGAGCUGCCCUUGAUACUGGCGUGCUGGAGUACGGAUGCCGUUGGAGGAAUGAGUGGUGUAGCGGUGAAAUGCUUAGAUAUCACUCAGAACACCGAUUGCGAAGGCAUAUGACGAAUCCGGCACUGACGCUGAGGCACGAAAGCGUGGGGAUAGAACAGGAUUAGAUACCCUGGUAUUCCACGCCGUAAACGAUGAUGACUAACCGUCGGCGAUAGACAGCCGGUGGCCAAGCGAAAGCGAUAAGUCAUCCACCUGGGGAGUACGUCGGCAACGAUGAAACUCAAAGGAAUUGACGGGG
RNAcentral lists this ribosomal RNA (393 nucleotides) under uncultured bacterium. RNAcentral describes it as "partial 16S ribosomal RNA". It matches the Rfam family "Bacterial small subunit ribosomal RNA", at positions 523 to 918 of the family's 1533-position model. The record is from RNAcentral.